UACGAAGGGGGCUAGCGUUGCUCGGAAUCACUGGGCGUAAAGCGCACGUAGGCGGAUCUUUAAGUCAGGGGUGAAAUCCUGGAGCUCAACUCCAGAACUGCCUUUGAUACUGGGGAUCUCGAGUCCGGAAGAGGUGAGUGGAACUCCGAGUGUAGAGGUGAAAUUCGUAGAUAUUCGGCGGAACACCAGUGGCGAAGGCGGCUCACUGGCCCGAUACUGACGCUGAGGCGCGAAAGCGUGGGGAGCAAACAGG
Molecule: ribosomal RNA, 253 nt
Filed under: uncultured bacterium
Lineage: Bacteria
Description: partial 16S ribosomal RNA
Rfam family: Bacterial small subunit ribosomal RNA
Source: RNAcentral